AGGACUUUGUGAUCUUCAAACUACUUGGCUACAGUUUUAUUUUUAUGAAGUUGAGGCAGCCACUGUUUUUCUAAAGCUGCAUAUCUGCAGAAUAGAUGAUGAUUUUUUUCUACCAUGGAAUGUUCUUAUCAUUGUGUCUGGACUUUUUUUUUUUUUUUUUAAUGGCCACACCUGCAGCAUCUGGAAAUUCCAGGGCCAGGGGUUGAAUCCUAGCUUCAGCUUCUGCAGCACUGUGCCAGGCCAGGGUUUGAACCCGAACCUCUGCACAGCAACCCAAGCCACUGCAGCUGGAUUCUUAACCCGCUGUGCCACAGUGGGAACUCCAAGUCUAGACUUUCAACAGCUCUAGUUUCAAAUUAAUGGAGAAGGAAAUUUUCCCUGGUUUUCUAAUUUAGAAUACUGAUGUUAUGCAUAUAGAGAGACAGUUAUGGGCAGCUGAAUGUCUACCUUGACUACAGGAAGUCUUGCUGCCAUCAGAGCCCUGCUUCUCUCCCCAUCUUAAGACAACAGAAAAAUGUUAUACUGGGGCAAUCUGUGAACUCCUAGCCAACUCAACCACCACCAGAGAUAGGACCCCGAAGGCAAAGCUUUAUAGCAUCCAUGCAAUAAAUGGCAAUUUGGUGGAAGUGAACAACUACAGUUUAUCCACUCUUCAAAGGCAUCAUGGCUGAAACAGGCUUCUGUCCAAUUACCUGGGAAGCUAACCAGUAAACCAGUCUCCUAUGGGAAAAGUUGACAAUGACCUUGGCAACAACGAGAAAAGCCCAAAAGAGCACUGAGUAGAAGAGAUGUCUGAGUUCUGGGUCCAAACCACACCCGUUCUUGGAUAAUUCAUGAAUAUUCCUCACACUCUGUCCAAUUUCAUCCCUUUUACCUAGAUCCUUCUAUAUAUUCAGUGUCUCCACCUGAAUUGGGUGGAGAAGUUGAUUUGCAAACCAGGUUCCUGCUUCUCCAUUCCUUGGCUGUUGAAUAAAACUUGUGCUGUUCUAGUCUCGGCAUUGUUCCCCUUACUGGCUAUGCAAAUCUAAUCAGAAAAGAAACUCUCUGAUCCAGACAGGGGGAUUCGGCCCAGGCUAGUGCCCUGGUGUGGAUCUGGUUGAACAAUGUGCUAACGAACUUAAGGAUGUAAGCGUUUAUAAAUUCCCAGUUAUCUGGUUUAAUCUGAAACCUUCUUGCAGUUCAUAUCAAUCAUGCAACAUUUACUGGGUUGCUUUUCUAGAAAAACCAAUGCAGACUAAACAAAAUUACUGAUGGUUUAAUUACUAUCUCAGAUUCUUUGAAUGUGAUCUAAAUAAAUAAUUUCUCACCUACCCCAUAGUCAGAAGUUUUUCUAGUAUGACUAGAGAAAAUCCAUUAUACUGCACCUAUGCCAUUGUCUAUUGCAUUUAAAAUUUUGCUUUUAUGCAUGCUAAAGCACAAACAUGUUGUUUAGUCUACUUCUAUAGAAAGGCUAUUUUAUUUUUUCAUCUUAGUUUGCUCUUUGGCUCAAAUACUAUGAUACCAUCUAGACGUGAAAAUAUAUGCACCUCCAAUGAUGGUCCUUUCCUUACAAAUCCUCCCCGAAUAUCUGUGCUGGAUUAGGUUUUUUCUGUAACUCUGAGUUAUAGAAAUGCUGAAAAUAAUCUAAGGUGUUUGUAUAAAAGGGAGAUAUAAAAAUGGGAGAUAGCACAAGAGCUAAUUAAAGGGAAACCUACAAUUAGAUGGGUUCCCUUGAUUAAUGGCAUUGGAACUGUCUGAUGAGUGAUGGGUGGGGGAAUUUCAAAGUCCACACUGAUCUAGAUUCGGUACCUUUAAGAAUGAAGAACUCUCAUGCCCACCUUAAAAUGAACUUUUAAGAAAAACCUACCUCAGGGAAACGUUUAGAAAGACUAAAGCAUUUUGGCAGCACAAUCUGCCUGGUAAGAGUAACUUUUUAAUUCCAACUUUUUCAAACUUAAUUCACUCCAUAGGAAGUGACAACCAGUUAUUGAACUAAGUCAAAGCCUCAGGUAAAGUACAAGUUCAUCUAAAUAGGGGAAUUAAACACACAGAUCCUGAAAGUUCUAGAGAACACUGCAGGAUGCCCUGCUGCACCAUUCCAAAUAUCUACAUUUGUUCGGGUACGUUGCUCAAGAAGGGGAACAUUUGCACAUUUAUUGAAAGGGAAUUGAAUGGCAGCCAUUGUUAUGUGACUGGAAUGCUACAUUCCAUACUUUACAUAGUCAUGUCUAAGACUUUACAUUGGGGGAAAAGGACAAAGAACAUAUUAUCUUCUAUGGUUUUCUUAUGGCCUUGAAGGCAAAUCCUUCAUAAGAUAUGUCACCCUUCUAAAAGGCUAGUGAUGGACUGAAUGAGAUGUCCAGUGAGAAAUUCAGUUUGCAAGUAUGAUAUAUAAUUGUAAUUAAUUCAAAAAAUUUGCUUCAUUUGCUGAAACUGGAGCAUCCUGUGGUGCCAUUAAGUAAGGAAGUGCUGGAAAAAAACCUGGGGGCAUAUGGAAAGGACACAGGAGCCCAUCUGAAGGAGCUCCUAAUGGCCAAGACUGGGACAACUUGAGCAGAAAACUAAAUAAGGACAGUAUUGGAUUAUAACCCAAAGAAUCAACUAACUAUCCAUGAGUUCAUCCUGCUGUAAAUCAAUGAUGGAUAAAUAGAUGAAAGCAGGAGAAAGAACAAUUCUUACAGAAGAAUUCCAAUAGUAAUUGUAGGAUAAAUGAAGGAAACGGAAAAAUUAGAAAACCGCAGACCUUGGCAUAUACCCAAGUCAAACCAUAAUAUGAAAGGAUACAUGCACCCUUGUGUUCAUAGCAGCACUAUUCACAACAGCCAAGACAUGAAAGCAAUCUACGUGUUCAUCAACAGAUGAAUGGAUAAGGAAGAUGUGGCAGACACAUACACACACCCACACACACACUGGAAUAUCACUCAGUUAUAAAAAAGAAUGAAGUAAUGCCAUUUGCAUGGACCUAGAGAUUAUCAUACUAAGUGAAGCUAAGUCAGAAAGAGAAAGACAAAUACCAUACGAUAUCACUUACAUGUAGAAUCUAAAACACAAUUCAAAUCAACGUACCUAUGAAACAGAGACAGAUUUACAGGUAUAAAGAAGAGACUUGUGGUUGCCAAGGGGGAGUGGGGGUGUGGAGGAAAGGAUUGGGAGUUGGGGAUUAGCAGAUGAAAAGUAGUAUAUAUAGCAUAGAUAAACAACAAGGUCCUACUGUAUAGCACAGGGAACUGUAUUCAAGAUCCUGUGACAAACCAUAAUGAAAAAUAAUAUGAAAAAGAAUAUAUAGGAGUUCCUAUUGUGGCUCAGUGGUGAUGAAUCUGACAGGUGUCUAUGAGGAUGCAGGUUCGAUCCCUGGCCCCACUCAGUGGGUUGAGGAUCCAGUGCUGCCCUAAGCUGUGGUGUAGGUUGCAGAUGUGGCUCAG
Molecule: long non-coding RNA, 3401 nt
Filed under: Sus scrofa (pig)
Lineage: Eukaryota; Metazoa; Chordata; Mammalia; Artiodactyla; Suidae
Description: lncRNA (ENSSSCG00015037608.1)
Source: RNAcentral